RNAcentral lists this unclassified non-coding RNA (2003 nucleotides) under Hevea brasiliensis (rubber tree). Lineage: Eukaryota; Viridiplantae; Streptophyta; Magnoliopsida; Malpighiales; Euphorbiaceae. The record is from RNAcentral.
GCACUAAUUAAGGGAUUCCAACAAAAACUUUGGAUUCACAUGCAAAUGCUAUAUGCACUACUUUCAAUGUAGUGGAAUAACCUUGCUUAUUUCAAUGAUAACUUUGGAAAGUUGAUUUAUUUUGUUGCUUUACUAAACCGUUUAGAAGAAUUGUAUUGUAGACUAGAUUAAGCAUCUUGCUUUGUGUGGGCAAUAUACAGAUGAUGGAAACCACUUUGCUAUACCCAGUCUAUUGUACCAAACCAAUUAAUGAUUGACAUGUAUGCUGAAUGUUUUACACUUAGCCAAUGAAAAUUUGUCAGUACCUGGAGUGAUUUAGGCUCAUUUACUCAUGGCAAUGGUUUAUUGGUUUGGUUAAUACCCUAGCAGGAGCAAAGAACUUUCUAUGAUGGGAAUCACAGUACCUGUUUUAUUUUAUUUUUGAAACUUUUCAAUUGGUGAUCUAAUAAUGCCCUUUGACCUACUUGUUUGCUUGCUAGUUCCCUUAAAUGUCAUGUUCUCCAUCUUUUGCCCUGUUUGUGCAGUUGGCUCUGUGGUGGUGCUACUGGCAGAGAGCAUACCUGGACUACUAUAGUUAAUCACAGUUGUGGGCGAUACAAAGAAGACCAUUUUAAGAAAACUGGGCGUGCAAAAAGGGAUCUGGAGCGCUAUGUUCACUACUAUAACAGAUACAAGGCCCAUUUAGAUUCUUUUAAGCUUGAAUCUGACCUUAAGGAAGUCAUAAAUGGAAAGAUUUCAACACUGGAAGAGAGGGAUUCAAAAUCUAAAGAUUUCACUUGGAUAAUGAAUGGACUACACAUACUCUUCAGAUCAAGGCGGAUUCUUUCAGCUACCUAUCCAUUUGCAUAUUACAUGUUUGGUGAUGAAUUACUCAAAGAUGAAAUGAAGGACAAGGAGAAGGAAAUUAAAAAGAAUUUGUUUGAGAACCAGCAGCAGCAGUUUGAGGGAAAUGUUGAGAAGCUCUCCUUGUUUCUUGGAGAGGAAUUUGAGUUGUACAAUGAUAAUGAAAUUUUGGAUUUGAGAAUGAGGAUCAUUGCUGUUUCAGUGUCUACUGAUAAUCUCUGCCGAAAUUUGUAAGUUUAACUUUUAGCAUUUUCCAAAUCAUUUUCCACUUGAUGCAAUUCAAGCCCAUGAUAUAUGUAAAACUGGAAUAAUUGCAAAAUCCUUAAGAUGAUUGAUUGGCGUGGAGGUGAAGCCUAGGAUCUAUAGUUGAUUUCUUGUUAAUGAAGUGGAUGUGAGAAAAAUCCAAAACAAAUUGCAAUUGAUGCUAUGGAGACAAGAAUAGAGUAAUUCUUAUUUUAUGCAUGUCUUGAAACCCGCAACUGUUACAAAGGUCUUGGGUAUGUGUGUUGACUGCUGAAUGGAUGCAGGUACGAUCAUAUUGAGAAUGAUUUGUUGGGCUCUCUAACGUGGACAGUUCAUAGGAUAGCUCCUUACAAGUCAAGGGGUGUGCUUAGAAGUUCCUAACUUUCAGAGCACUGACAUUAGCAUGAAAGAACAUCAGCAGGAAAGGUAAGGCUACCAGCAGAAAAGGUAUGGCCAUCUCAAAAUUUCCGGUCAAACUUUUCUUGAUGUUGAAAAUUUCAUUACCUACUUAUCGUUCAUUCAUCUGUUCUAUCUUUUACAUAUGUUAAUAGAAUGAUUAAAAUCCAGCUUAUAGGUUUGCAGUUGAUGAUGGUUGCUUGGUACUCCUCAGAAGAUAUGCUAGCAGAAUUCUUUGUGACAUGUCAUUUAUUAUAGUGAUUCAUCAGCAUCUUUCAAGAGGCACAGCUUAAUUGUGGGUUUUUGUCUGGCCACGUUACUCUUUCUAUAGGAAUGCCUUCCUUCGCUAUAUCGCCCACCCCCUUGAUUUUCUUUAGCAAUAUUAUUGCUUAAAGUUGACCACAUGGCCUUUGAUAAGAUUAGUACGCAAAAAUAUAUGUAUUAUUUUUUAAAAUAUUUAACUCUGUAUAUCUAUCAAGGAAUAGGUGAGUCAUUUCCCUUUCUUCCCUUCUAUUCUCUAU